Molecule: transfer RNA, 88 nt
Filed under: Chitinophagia bacterium
Lineage: Bacteria; Pseudomonadati; Bacteroidota; Chitinophagia
Description: tRNA-Gln
Rfam family: tRNA
About the family: Transfer RNA (tRNA) molecules are approximately 80 nucleotides in length. Their secondary structure includes four short double-helical elements and three loops (D, anti-codon, and T loops).
Source: RNAcentral
UGCGGGGUAGACGAAUUAGGCAAAGUCACCAGGUUUUGACCCUGGAGGUAAAUUACCAUUGGAGGUUCGAUCCCUCCCCCCGUAGCAA